RNA transcript from Cynoglossus semilaevis (tongue sole), 3157 nucleotides. It is a transcript of the gene named glycine receptor, alpha 3, with no coding region annotated. NCBI's taxonomy places the organism in Eukaryota, Metazoa, Chordata, Actinopteri, Pleuronectiformes, Cynoglossidae. The record is from RefSeq and is a predicted model, not a curated record. The transcript is spliced from 10 exons.
GUUAGAAUGUGGAGCUCUAAGGACACAAGGCUAAUUUCACACUAGUAACUACAUUUUCUAUUUAAUUUAUAAAUAAAUAUAGACCAAAUUAGAACUUCAUACAUUCCUUUAAAUUGUAGUCAAACAAAUUAUUAUUAUUUUUUAUUUUGUUAUUCCAUUUAAUCAUGCUUACCAAAAAGUGUGUGGAUGUAGCCUUUGUAUUGAUUGUGAUUUAGACCAGGUAAUCCCACGACAGGUGAUUGGCCGGGGCAAUCAUUCAACCAAUCACAAACAUGGCGGGAAUCAGUAGGAGGCGUGGCCACGAUACUCCUGAGCUGCCCUGAGCUUCAUGGGGUUAGAGAAACCUCUGAGUGAGCGUCGGAGUAGAAGCUGCAUGUUUACAGGAUUUGUUCAUCCGCUUUCAGAGCUGCGUUUUUAGAAAGCAAACGAAGAGGGGGUUAAAUUCUCCAUUGCUCCUGCUCCUCCUGUUGCUGCGGCAUGUGUGUCUGCGACGCCUACCCUCCGCUGGGAAUUAUAUGAAGAUGUUUUUAGAAAUAAUGACAAUGACGAUUGUGACCGCAAUGAGGAGCCAUAAACGUCAGCAGACCUGUUUGGCCGGGUUUCCCCUCGCUUGGACACUUGUGCUGUCAUUCAGUGUGGGUCAAUGUAAGGAGCUGGACAACCCAGCUAGGACACGGCAGGUUCCCAUGUCUCCAUCUGACUUCCUGGACAAAUUAAUGGGGAGGACAUCUGGAUAUGAUGCUAGGAUACGACCCAACUUUAAAGGUCCUCCAGUCAAUGUAACCUGCAACAUCUUCAUCAACAGCUUUGGCUCCAUUGCUGAAACAACAAUGGACUAUCGCGUGAACAUCUUCCUUCGUCAGCAGUGGAACGAUCCCCGACUCGCCUACGCUGAAUACCCAGACGACUCUCUGGACUUGGACCCGUCCAUGUUGGACUCCAUAUGGAAACCAGAUCUGUUUUUUGCCAAUGAGAAGGGAGCCCACUUUCACGAAGUCACAACUGAUAACAAGCUGCUGAGAAUAUUUAAGAAUGGGAAUGUUUUGUACUCAAUCAGACUUACAUUGACUCUGUCAUGUCCAAUGGAUCUAAAGAAUUUCCCCAUGGAUGUUCAGACCUGUAUCAUGCAGCUCGAAAGCUUUGGUUACACAAUGAACGACCUGAUCUUUGAGUGGCAGGAGAACGGUCCGGUCCAAGUAGCAGAGGGCCUCACACUCCCACAGUUCCUUUUGAAAGAUGAGUCGGACCUCAGAUACUGCACCAAGCACUACAACACAGGUAAAUUUACUUGCAUUGAGGUCCGAUUCCACCUGGAACGCCAGAUGGGCUACUACCUGAUCCAGAUGUACAUCCCCUCUCUGCUCAUUGUCAUUUUGUCCUGGGUCUCCUUCUGGAUCAACAUGGAUGCUGCUCCCGCCAGAGUGGCCCUAGGCAUCACCACUGUACUAACCAUGACCACACAGAGCUCAGGUUCCAGGACAUCACUGCCCAAGGUCUCUUACGUCAAAGCCAUUGACAUCUGGAUGGCAGUGUGUUUGCUCUUUGUCUUCUCCGCGCUGCUGGAGUAUGCUGCCGUCAACUUUGUGUCAAGGCAACACAAGGAGCUGCUGAGAUUUAGACGGCAUCACAGAAACAAGAGCAAGUGACGCCUCUGCUAGAACCAGGUCCAGAUCAGAUGCGACGGCUGUAAUUUUUCAUGCAGCACCAGCCAAGGUCAUUUCCAGCUUGGAAUUUAUUCGUCACGUGACUUUUUUGAGGCAACGUCGUGAUUGGUUGGAAGGGAACAAGACAUUGCACUGCAGGAGAGGAGAGCGUAACUCGCUUUGUUGACACACCUACCUAAACCAGGACAGGCUGUACAAGAAAAGUCUGCACCUGAAACUAAUUAGAGGGAGAUGGAGCCAAUCCCACAGUCAUCGGACAAGUCCAAUUUAGUCUCCUUUUAACCUAAUGCGGCAUGGUUUUGGACUUUGAGAGAAGGCAGGCGUUCCUGGAGAAAAACUCUUGCACCCUGGAAGAACAUGUACACACAGCGUGGACAUUAUUUACGUAAGGUAAGCAUGCUAACCCAUAUCCAAGUGUACUAACAAACUUUUUGGCUCCGGGGCCACAAUAGGUCCUAAAAUUUGACAUGGAUGCAGGGUCAUGAGCAGAUAGAUGGAUCAUUCAUGUGCACUAAGAUAAAUGAUAAAUGUAAAAGCCAUGCGUAAAGGCUAAAAUGUUAAGAUGCUUUUAGCCUUCUCUAUGCCAUCUAUUGGGGGAAAUGCGAAAAUUGCAGGGAAAAGUCAAAUGAUAAUGUAAUAAUAUUUGGCGGCCCAGAUUAAGAAGCCAAAUGGGCCGCAUUAGGACCCCGGGCCGUAGUGUGCUGUGCCUGAUUUAAAUCAUUAGAAGACUCAAGACUUCUGACUUUAGUCCUUCUGUGCUGUAGCAGCUGGAGGAAUUUCCAGCUUGACCAGUCUUUCAAAGCCACUCUGUUUUUAUUUUACAGUGAAUACAAUCUUAAACAAACAUAAUCAGUUUCACACAGAAUCUUAAAAAAAAAAAAAAACAUACCACGCUAAGCCAAUUGCAGAAUCUCACAUUUAGCUUCAGAAACAUCUCAACUUCCCUCCUCCCUUCCUUCCCCUGUCCUCUUAUCUUACUUCCUUCCUACAUUCAGGAAUAAUCUCUAGAGCCCAGUCAGGGCCGUCACCCCCUUACCUAACACGAAGUAUGAAGCAGUUGAGGAAGAGUAGGAGAAAGGCUAGAACUUACGGGUUGGAAUCCGUGUCUUGUUAGCUCUUUGUUUGGAUGUUCAGAUCUCUCUCUCCUAGACUGGUGACAGGCGCAUGUGACUGUGAGUUGGAAAUCUCCUGCUGCUACAUCCUGGACAUAAACACUUUCAGCAUCUCCUCUUUACUCUAAAGCACCGUAAAGAAUCCCUCCUGAAGAUUAGCUUUCCACAUGGAAAGUCUGUGUGUGUGUGUAAAUCACAGCCUGGUCAUCCAGGAAAACCUUGUUAUUUUAGUUUCCCACUGGUGAAAAGCCCAUUUAAACAGCAGAUUUAAACUGUGUCAAUCACCUUAUUUCCCAUAAACGGAAAUUGUAUUCCAGUGGAAUUCAGUUCCAGAACCUUUGACCCUGUGAUAGAAGAGUUUUUUGUGGAUUUAGUUAGAAA